GUGGGGAAUAUUGGACAAUGGGGGAAACCCUGAUCCAGCGACGCCGCGUGAGUGAAGAAGUAUUUCGGUAUGUAAAGCUCUAUCAGCAGGGAAGAUGAUGACGGUACCUGACUAAGAAGCACCGGCUAAAUACGUGCCAGCAGCCGCGGUAAUACGUAUGGUGCAAGCGUUAUCCGGAUUUACUGGGUGUAAAGGGAGCGUAGGCGGCUAUGCAAGUCAGAUGUGAAAGCCCGGGGCUCAACUCCGGGACUGCAUUUGAAACUGCGUAGCUUGAGUGCAGGAGAGGCAGGCGGAAUUCCUAGUGUAGCGGUGAAAUGCGUAGAUAUUAGGAAGAACACCGGUGGCGAAGGCGGCCUGCUGGACUGAGACUGACGCUGAGGCUCGAAAGCGUGGGGAGCAAACAGG
Molecule: ribosomal RNA, 405 nt
Filed under: uncultured rumen bacterium
Lineage: Bacteria
Description: bacterial SSU rRNA
Rfam family: Bacterial small subunit ribosomal RNA
Source: RNAcentral